Long non-coding RNA from Mustela lutreola (European mink), 6146 nucleotides. RefSeq lists it as uncharacterized. NCBI's taxonomy places the organism in Eukaryota, Metazoa, Chordata, Mammalia, Carnivora, Mustelidae. The transcript is spliced from 5 exons. The record is from RefSeq and is a predicted model, not a curated record.
UGUAAUUAUACUUAAUUAUAAUCAUUUGAUUAAGGCUUGUCUACCAUAAAAGAAUCCUAUUCCCUCUUUCAUUAAUAAGUAUUUGUGAGGGAACUAUUUUGAGGACGUAUAAAACCUUGUUUCUCAUCAAACCCUACUAGGCUCUGACACCCCGUAUCUCCCAUGCGUUAGUUCUCUCUCUCUCUCUUUCUCCUUCUCCCUCUGCCUCUCUCUCUUUCUCCUCCCUUUGGCUUCCUUGGCUUGUUUCUCAUUGAGUAAAGCACACCCUAAUUAGCUUCCUGAGGAUGCAUGGGAGGACAUAAUUUUAAGAUUUCACAUAUUUGUGUCUUCAUCCUUCCCUCCUCCUUGAGUUGCUAGUUUGACUAAUUACAGAAUUCUACAUUGGACAUUUUUCUUCAGAACUGUGAGUGUAUUCCUUGCCUGUCUUCCAGCUUCUAAUGUUGCUAUUGAGCAGUUGAUGUCAUUAUAAUUCCUAAAUAUUGUACUUUUUUUGCCUCUCUGAAAGUUACAUGUUCUUGUUUUUUAAUCUUUGAUGGGGUCGCCCCCCCCCCCCUUCAUUGUGCUGGAUUCUCUCUGGGCUGUUCAAUCUGGAAAAUCAUGCUCUUUGGUGAUGACAAUUGUUGUGGGUAUUCUUUCUUUUUUUAAGGUCUACAAACUUCUUUUUAAAAAACAUUUUAUCUGUUUGUUUAUUUUUUAGAGAGAGAGAGAGCAAGUGAGGGGAGGGUUGCAGAGGGAGGGGGAGAAUCUCAAGCAGACUCCAUGCUGAGCAGAGUCCAUUGUGGGGCUCAAUCCCACGAUUCUGAGAUCAUGAUCUGAGUUGAAAUCAAGAGUUGGACACUUAACUCACUGAGCCACCCAGGUGCCCUGUGGGAAUUCUUCCUUUGAAGAUUUCUUCCUCUUUGUAUUAUCUGUCUUCUACAGAAUUCCUGUUGUUGCAUGUUGACUUCUGCAUUGGUUUUCUGAUUUUCAUUCAUACCUUCUUCUCUUAGUUACCUCUUUGAUAUUUUAUCCUACUUUCUGGGAUAUUUUUUCACCUCUCCUCAUCCAACCAUUGGAUUUUUCAUUUUAGUUGAUACAUCAUUACUUUCUAGGACCUCAUUCUUGUUCUUUGGCUAUGCCUUAUUAUCUGUCACCCUAUUCUUGUUUUAUAGAUGUACUAUAUUCUCUUGGAGAAUUUUGCUAUAUAAAUUCUUGAUGUUUUCUUCUGCUCCCACACUUGUCUUUUUUUUCUUUUUUCUAUUUUUUUUUUUUUUUUGCCAUCUCAUGUUAGAAUGCUAGAAAAAAAGUGGCUAACAUGAUAUUAGAGGAUGAUGUCUUAUUUGAUAAAACAAAACAAAGCAAAAAAACAGAACAGAGGAAAACAUGGAGAACAAAAACAAAAGGGAGAGAUGCUGGUUUGUCCGCAUGUCAGAAAAGAACUCUGAUUGGAAGCCCUAUAGAUGUAGGUGGGACAUGUGGGUAGUGGGGCUUCAUUGUAGGGUGAUUGAGAGGUUAUCUGGUUUUCUCAUGGGGGGGGGUUCCAAUUGUUAAUACCUGUGUCUUUUCACUGGACCUAUUUAGUUUCUUCAGGGACAAAUCGUCCAGUUUCUUGCCUGGAGAAAAAAACACCUUUUAUCCAAUGUUCUGGGGAGUGAGAGGGAGUAAUAUGGCUGUCCAGCAUAGAUACUCACUUAAUUCUCAUAUUUUCCUUUCAGGUCCUACUCUUGCUUUCUUGUCAAUAUUUUCUCCUUGAGGUUAUCAUACAAAAUGCAACAGGAAUUUAAAGGAAAAAAAAAAAAAACUACCAAGGCUACUGAGAUUAUAGUUAGUUUGUGCACAGUAGAAAAACAGCAAAAUUUUUGGGCACCUGGGUGGCUCAGUCGGUUAUGCCUCUGCCUUUGGCUCAGGUCAUAAUCCCAGGAUCCUGGGCUCGAGCCCCGCAUCAGGCUCUCUGCUCAAUGGGGAGCUGCUUUUCCCUCUCCCUCUGCCUGCCUCUCUGCCUAUUUGUAAUCUCUCUCUGUCAAAUAAAUAAAUAAAAUCUUAAAAAAAAAAGAAAAACAGCAAAUAUUUCACAUGAUUCUCACAUCCACAAGGAUCCUGACCAGUUUCCAAACAGCAGCAUCACAAAAGUCUGGGAUCAAGUUAUUUCUUCUUGGCAGUUAGUACCUUACAGGGAAGUCACAAGGUUCCCUUGAUUUUGCUGACCCUGCUUUAGUUUGUUUGUCUCAGAUCUGAGGUGCUUUUCUCCUCACGGCCUGAGAUGUCCAUGAUUACCCAUAAAUGAGAUGUUGUUUUGUUUCUACAGUUCCACCUAGUGGUCAAGUUUCUGGCCCUAAGGCACACAGUUAACCACAUGGGUUUGUUUUUAUGAUAUUUUCAUUUCCAUAUUCAUUAACUUGAUAUUUUCUUUAUUUGAUUUGUAGUUUUAUUUACACAGGUGUAAAACAAGGUGAAGAAGAAGAAAAAGAAGCAGCACUCCUUGCGUGUGGUUAACAAAAUUGGAGUCCUAGAUACUAAGACCUAAGAGUUAACUAUUGUCUGGAUGCUCUGUAAAUCUCCUACUCAUAUCUGUCUAAAUAAUUUAUUAUUGUCAGCUCAUCUACUGAGAACAGGAUCCAAGAACCCACCGUGCAUCUCGACAUGGUUUUGCCUGUAGUGCCUAUAUCUGCAAGAAGAUCCUUCUCAGAAAUACAUCAUGUCUGAGAUCUUGCUGGGGAGCAAGUCAGCCUCAAGGCAACUAGUGUUUCAUGGUCUGGAGACCGCUUUUCCGUGCAACUCAACUUAUGUGGACAUACACACUUUGGUAACUUGUAACUUUGGAUGGGAACAAAUGGGCUUGGGUGUACCCUCUUAGAUCUCACCCUGCUCAUAAAUGGAGGAGCUUUGGUGCCUACCAGAUGGGGAUCUAGUGGAAGAACAUAUCCUUGGACACAAGGUUACAUUUUUAGUUCACCUAUGAAGUUAGAAUCACAAGGGACCCUCUCCAGGCAUUUGCCUGGGACCAGCCAAGCCCUUGAUUACUCAUUUGCAGCCUCUGUGUUGUCCCCCUGUCCUGUCCAGUGGACUAUCCUACACUCCCAUAAGUCUUACUCCCGUAAGACUUGCUCUGAUAAAAUGUUAGGGUAAAUGUAGAAAUAAAACCAUGCUUCAAGCGUGGCCUUUUGCAACAAUACUAGUGUUUUGACCAGGGGCAAGUCCAAAGGAAGGAAGCUCUAAUUGCAAAAUUUGGGACACUGAUUUUGUUGCUUACAAGGACCCAAGGGGACACUUGUUGCAAUUCUGAGCCACUUGCUGAAUCUGACAAUCGAGAUUGCUGUAUUUGGAGAGAUGGUCUAAAAUCAUUCCUGGCUUUAGAAAUAGGAAUAGCUGAAAGAGUGCAUGCAGAACCCUCUUACACAUGACCCCGGCUGAAGAAACAAACAGCCAACUACGCACUCACAUUUAUUUAAAUCUCUGAACAGAGUUGUUCUCUGCUGAGUUAUAAUGAGGAGUGAGCUUUCCGAGGGUGUGAUUUAUGAGCCUUCCACAAUGGGUUUUAAAUGGGGGCACUGACAGUUUCACUCCAGCGAGGGCUGGGGGAGCCCUUCGGCCCGGAGGAGCUGAAGUGAGCUGGUGGGAGACAGAGGGGAGGCCGGCGGGGCUGGAUCGGGUCACCGCGAGCCAGGGGCAUGGAGCCAGCCCCCAGCUCCUCCGUCCCUGAGCUCGCUCACUCAGCAACACUGGAUUGUUCGUUUUUGUUUCUCUCAAGAAAGAAAUAACACACGUUGACGUGAAGAUUGAAGGUGGACUCUCUCUUGUGCCACAGACGGUCCCAGCGAUGGAAACAUGAACACUUUUCCCCGCCCACGCUUCUCUCUCUGUAGAACUGUCUGGUGGGUGAAGUUUGCAUUUUGCGUGAUUUUUCUUUUCUUUUCCUUUCUCUGUGGUGCAUUCCAGCCAGGAGAGUGACGAGGGCACCGUUGGUUGUGAAAUGGUGCCCUGGAGGUAUGUCCACGUCCUAAUCCCCGGAACCCGCGAACGUGACCUUGUUUGGAAAAAGGACUUUGCAGGUGUGAUCAAGUUCAGGAGCCUGAGGAUGAAGAAUGGGUCCAGCUCGUGCAGAUGUAAGCCGUGUGUAUAUGGUUGAACUGUGGGACCCCUCCUGGGGUCUCAGGUUUGAUCCACAAAGCCAGACAUGAGGGGAUGGCCUCUUGGUUCAGAUAAAACACUGCAGGCCGCAGAAUGCAAGCGGAGGGCAAGAGAGAAGGUGGACCCUGCAUUCAGCUCUGAAUGGGACCCUGGAUGUUCCCUCUCCAUCCCAGUUGGAGACUGGAAAUGAAGACUAUUUGUACAUUGGCUGCCAAAUAACAUGGAACUGUGCAAAACCAGUGAUAGUCAAACUAUUUUUGACUACAACGCUGGUAAGUUUCAGAGUCUUCAACCUAAUACAAAGCUGCUACAGAGCUUCAAGGCCUUUGCAUUUAUCUUCAAACUGCACAAUACCCGGAAAUGAAUUUUGAGAACAGUGCAAUGCUACAUAUCUAAGUGACCUAAUCUCAUGACUCUCAUGACGUAAUCACCUCCCAAAGACUCUACCUCCAAAUACCAACACAUUGAGGACCAGGGCUUCACCAUCUGAAUUUCGAGAGGAUGCAAACAUUCACUCUGCUGCACAUGCCAACCAGGGGUUUAAUGAAAUCCGCUGAAUGGCCUUAUUGAAAAUCUCAGCCUCUUUCUCUUCUAUCUCAACCUAGAAGCCUUUUCCCUUUUUCUUCAACUUGUGCAUCUUUUUAAGAAUUGGUCUUGGUUCCCUAGAAAACAGAGCCUGAGGCAAGGAUUAAGUACUAAUGCUUUAUUUACAAGCUACAGUCUCAGGGCUGUGAGAGUGAGGGAAAGGGGAACUGAGAAGCAGUGCAGAGAGCCAUGAAGACAGAACAAUUGCUUGACAGGUAUACUCGUGAGCUCCACGGAUGUCACUGUGUCUAAGAGUAGUCUGCUGGAGGGAAAAAGGGAGAAAACAUUUAUCUCCCUGGCUUCCUCUGCUCUCCUGCUUCCCUUGGUCCACAUCGACCCCAUGGCGAAUUAACUUCACUGUUCAAUCAAGUGUCUCUUCCAGCUCCUUCCCAGCCAGGCAGAAGUCAGACCCUAUGCCCUGCAGUGAGGAUUUCAUCCUAUUUCAGUGAGUCCGCAAGGGUCAGGAGGAGCCAGAGACACUGGGUAUGGAGCUGCCUGGCAUCAAGCAAUAGAACCUCUUGGGCCCAGUGGAGUUUGUCUGCCUCUGAGGCCAAGCAAACAGCCAAGGGGUCAGGAGGCAGGUGAGGCUGAGAAUCAGAGAGGCAUAUUAGGUGAGCUCAUUCACAUGUUGAUGAAUAAAUAAUCAUUAAUGCCUCCUUGGCUUAGGGCCUAUGAGGAAAAAUCAUGCCACAGGCAUUAAUUACACAUGUAAUCUGGGGGAUCCCAGCCUGGCAUAAGAUAUACACCCAAUAACACCAAUAAAAUGCCAUGGGAUCCAGGUGAAGGGGAACAUUUGUUUAAAAGAAAUGUCAACAUUCACAAGUUUACAAAUGCUUAUUAGCUUUACAAGUUUGAAGGUUUUGCUACUGGAACUAUCAAGGUGUUAUUUAACGGGGUUUUAAAUAACAGAAAAAAAUCUCUAGUUUUUACUUCCUCGGUCACUGUUCCCACAGAGAUUUGCUGAGAAUUACAAUGGCCAUGCAGGGUGUUUUAUUCAGGACUCACCGUGGCCGGGUGGAGCAGGUUUACGAUCCCUGCUGCAUACAGGUUAGAGUAAUUUGCUCAAGACUGUGCAGCUUUCAGGCAAGAAAGGAUUCUUUUCCAUGUUUCUGAUUUCAAGUUCAUUUGCUGUGUACGAUCUGAGGAAGCGGACAAGGGUACAGUGAAGGCCCACCUGACAAUCAAUUUUCGAGGAUAUAUUGAGAGAGGGGUCCAUGACUCAAGCAUCUCUAGCUGGGAGCCCCGGUGCUGAUGAGCUCUGGGACACUGGUGAUCUGACGAAUAGAUGGUUUACAAGCUAAACUGAGGGGCGCCUGGGUGGCUCAGUGGUUUAAAGCCUCUGCCUUAGCUCAGGUCAUGAUCCCAGGAUCCUGGGAUCGAGCCCCGCAUCUGGCUCUCUGCUCUGCGGGGAGCCUGCUUCCUCCUCUCUCUCUCUGCCUGUUUCUCUGCCUACU